Papaver somniferum (opium poppy) is the source of this 3667-nucleotide long non-coding RNA. RefSeq lists it as uncharacterized. NCBI's taxonomy places the organism in Eukaryota, Viridiplantae, Streptophyta, Magnoliopsida, Ranunculales, Papaveraceae. The transcript has 5 exons. The record is from RefSeq and is a predicted model, not a curated record.
AGUACGGGUUACGGCGGCGCAUAGUUAUCACCCCCUGAUUCCCUCCAUUAACUAUCAUCUUCUUCAUUAUCAACACCACCACCACUAUUAUCAUACAACUUAAUGAAUGGUUAUCAAUGGAUUUUGGAUUUGUGUCUCAUGAACCCUAGAAAGAGAGAGAUGGAGAGUGGAAAAAUGGUUGAUUUGAAUAAUGGGUAUGUGCGGAUUCCGAAUUGGUUAAUUUGUGGAUUGAAGAUUAGAUGUGAAGUCUUGGAAAUUCUUAACCUAAUGGAAGGUGGUUUUUUUCCUUCUAAAGAAGCUCAGAUUGCUGCAACAACCUAAGAGGUAAUACGAGAAGUCAGUUUUGGAGUCCUCCCAGUUUACGCCGGCGCAUCGCUAGAAUCCUCCUCCUGCCUUCCUCCAUUAACCAACCAUCUUCACCACCACCACAUCUAUUAUCUUCGGUAUCACCAGCAUCACCAAUGGGUUUUGUGAUUCACGGAAAUUGGGUUUUCAUGAAAUGUGUUCCAUCCAUGUAUUUGAUGGGGUCUUCAUUUCAUCUGAGGGAUAAGUAUAUACUAAAAUCAGUAGAAGAUUUGGGGUGGAAAUCCGUGGAAGCCGACUACUCCCCAGAGGGGGUAAUCUCUGCCGCUACCUCACCAAACACAGCAGCUCAGAAAGCCAAUUCCUGGUGGGGGAUUUUUAUGUCAUCAAAAGUAUUUGUAAGUGUUAAAAAGUUAUAAUCUCAAAUUAAUAGUGUUGGUGUUGUUUAAUUGGUUGGUACUAUGCCAAUUUCAAAAAUAAUUUGUGAUUUGGUUUAGAGAGCAAAGAACAUGUCUUUUAGAUGGUCUUUAGUGUGAGAUCAGCUAAAGUUUGAGUUAUGUUUAGAAUUCGGGCGAACAACAACAGAAGCUUCAUUGUCUCUUCACCAGAAUCUUCAUAGGAGAAUUUGGCACUCUUAGUUUUUUUGCAACACCAGAGGGAUUGGAGUUCCUGUUGAUUUAGAUAUUGUGUUGGUUCAUCACAUGAGGAGAUGCGUAAAAACAUGGAAUGCAGUACCUUCAGAAUACCUUACACAUUAUUCUGCCUAAAAUUGCGAUGCUGAAAGAAAGCAAGUCACGUAAUUGGAUCAAAUUUUAGUUGGAAAGGCUUAAAGACAGUGCUUAAAAUCCUUAUGGCAUAAUGGAUGGAUUCUCCUAAGAAAACUCUUGCGUCUACAGCAAUACAGCAACUUAACUUCAGGGUUUGCUUCACAGCCUCGCAUACUGCUAGACAAUGGGAUCCAGUCUUGAGCCUCCACGUCCUGGACCCCUAGUUGAGGACUAGGUUGAUCUUGUAAACAACUCGGCUUUAGGGUCAGCUUCACAGCAUGAUAUAUACAGUUAUAUAAUGGCAUUCGAUCUGAGCCUCCACGUCCUGUACCACCAGCUGAGAAGCAGGUUGAGCUUGUAAUAACUCAGCUUCAGGGUCAGCUUCACAACCUGACAUACAACUGGACACUGGCAUUUGAUCUGAGCCCCCACGUGCUGAACCCCCAGUUGAGGUUCAGGUUCAUAACUGAGCUUCAGGAUCAGCUUCACAGCCUAUAUUGCUAGACAACGAAAUCCAGUUUGGGCUUAUCACUUGUCAGCAAGCUGAAUAUUCAACACAACAACUAGCAACCAAAGAGCAUGUUGAAUUUCCUUGUCAUGAUGUCGUUGAGCCCCUGGAACCGGUUCUUCAACUGUCUAUGUCAAUUGGCACAUCUCUAGGUGGAAGGGUACAUGUGUAUCAGAUUCCAGAUCUCUAGCGUGGAGAAAGAAUACCUGAAACCUGCUUAUUCUGCAACCAUUUGAGAAGACCUUGAAGAUGGUUUAUUUGAUGACUUUCUUGAAUUGGCACUCCAGUUUGCUGGCCCCUUUCCUCUUGCAUUCUUCUCUGCUGCCUUGAAUUCUACCACAGAAAUCAGAACUGAUGCGUUGAAGCUGCUUGUAAUGUGAAAAAGGCAUGUUCCCCGUAAUGCAGCAACAAUCGAAGCUUGGCUUAACAUAUUUCAGUUUUCGAUAGCGAUGUCAGUAUGUGCCAAUUGUGUGCUUCUGAUGUGCUUGUAUCACGAGGAGGGGAAAUGGAAAAUCGAACAUGGUCUUGCAGGAAUCCUUAUCAAGGAACAAGUUUUGCUAAUGAUCGAAUAAGGGUUCUCCAUUUUGUGCUCAAGGAUUCAGCAUGGGUUAAAGCAAAACGUACUUGAAUUGUCGCUUAUAUUUCCGGGUACUAGCAAUGUCUAAUUUCUUGAGUUAGAAGCAAAAUGUUGCACUGUCUGAACACUAACACGAAUAAGAAGUCCCAUUUUGCACGCCUACUUCUUCUAAAUCAUGAGCCAAAGUCCCAGUGCUGCAAGAAUUGACCACAUGUUUUCAAAGUAGGUGUAUCGCUUUGAAAUUAGAGCGAUAAAUGGAUGAUUAAGUUUUUUUACCUUGUAUCAUGUCCAGGACCACCUGUGAGGCCGAUUCCUUGCCUUAGUCUCAUGGGCCAUUUAGUGUUCCUAAGGCUUAGGGGUUCAGUAUUCUUACUUAUAAAACCACACCAAGCCGUCCUACUUCGGCGGCGCAUUGUUCCCCGUGGUUUCCUCCAUUAAUCAUCUUCUUCAUCAUCGAAACCACCACCGUCAUUGCUAACAUGGGUUUUAUGUCUCAAUGUCUCAUAAACCCUGGAGAGAGGGAAGAAAAAUGGUUGAUUUGAAUAAUCAAUAUCGGAAACAGUUGAUUUGUUGAAUAUCAUCAGAUCUGUCGGUCUUUGGAUUGGUAAGAAUUAGGUGUCCGGAAGAAAUUGAGGUUAUAACACCAGAAAGGAAUCUAGUUGAUCACUGAGGUACUGGGACCGCACAAGAUCUAAUAAAUUAAACGCUGGGGGAAGAGUUUGGAGUUCUCGGAGAAACAUCUGGAGUGGAUUUUCAAGUGUAUGUGAUUUUGCCUCGUUCUCAGAUUUUGACUCAAGCUGGCUACAAGAUUUGAUGAUAUUAACAUGAAAUUAGAUGUUCCCACAAUGAUAUGAUUGCCAUAAUGGCUUCUCUCAUCAGAAUUUUGUUCACCUGAUAUUCUUCUAUCCCAGUGUCUAGAGGAAAAUUCCAAAGGUGUCCUCAGUUACAGGGACAUCAAGUGCAGUUGAUAUGUACGAACCCACUGGAAGUAUACCUGAAGAUUGAGGAGGUCAAGGAGAGAAUAAACGGAUAAGUAUCUUUUGCCUGCUGCAAAAAAACAUAGGUUGCAAGAAAAUCAUGGAAGUGGGAAUGGCAAGUUGGUUUCUGCUGAAGAACAGAAGGUGCAAGAAAAUCCUAUUGGUUCUGUGCUAGGAAAAGGCCCUCAUUUGGUUUUGUUGACAGUAUGGAUGACUGCGAAGAGGACUGUGUUUUCCUCGAGAUGAAACCUUUACUAUAUGAAUAGAUGGUCAGAGAGGGAUGUCUUGGUCAGAUGGAGUGGGUGCACUUGUCUUAGCCUCUGUUUCUCUGAGUUUCUGUGGUAAAAAAGAGUGUGCAGGGGUAGAUGAAUGAAGUAGGAUAGAUGUUGCCCAUCUCCUUUGGAUGUCGGCGAAUGCUACUCGACUGAUUUGUAUGCCAGAAUGCUGUUAAAUGAAGAAAAUUAAGAAAGGUCUAACAGAUCCAGAAUGUAAUGUUGUUUCUGCUAUGUUAUGUUUAGACAUCCUUCAUUACCCA